UACGGAGAUGUGAGAGGCUAGUUAUGGAUGGUUUUAAGUGGGGUAGAGCUAGGCCUAAGAAGUAUUGGAGGGAGGUGAUUAGACAUGACAUAGAGCAGUUACAGUUUACGGGGGACAUGACCCUUGAUAGGAAGGUGUGGAAGACGCCAAUUAGGGUAGAGGGUUAGUGCGUACGAGUACGUUUGCAGUGUAUUAGUGAUGCCUAUGUUUUUCAAAUAGAUAUUUUAUAGUAUUACCUUCUAUGUGCCUUGUUUUUAUUAUUAUCCUUUACUAUCUAGCGGCAUGAUAUCCCAUGUUGUUUGCAUGUUGUAUGUGUUUUGCUUGUUAUAUUGUUAUCUGUCCUGAGUCUGGGGUCUAUCGGAAACAGACUCUCUACUUCAUUUGAGGUAGUGGUAUGAACUGCGUACACUUUACCCUCCUCAGACCCCACUUGAUAGGAAGAUACUGGGUAUGUUGUUGUCAUUGUUGGUUUCUUAUUGAUUGUUUGGUUUGCUGAACUAAGAAUAAUAUUCAUUGCAUACUUUCUAAGAAUAAGUUGUUUGUUUUCAAAAAUACCAUCCACCUUAUUUAGCUUUAUAUAUACUUUUUCGAUAGAGCUUUAGUUAUUCAUUCAGAAAAAACAAAACUUCCACGUUAUUUAGAUUAAUUAUUUUUAUGUAUGCAUUCCCGUGACUUUUUUGUGUUCAACUAUGUGCCAAUUUUAUAGGCAAUGCAUCGAUUUUUUUGUAAUUAUGAUGUGCUAUUAUUAAAAUAUGAUCAAUAGGCCGUCUUUAGAGGCAGUAGCUUCUUUGUAAUUAUGAUGUGCUAUUAUUAACAUAUGAGCGACUGGCCAUCUUCAGAAUCAUAUAAACUUUGGCCUUGAUCAUCAUCAGGUGAGAGCUUGACUCAAAUUCAUCGCUCUAAACUUUUGCAUCCAAAAAGCCACACACAUCAGCCAAAGGAGGAUAUUAUGAUGUUCGUCUGCAUAUGGAUUUAGGACAUCGAUUGAUGUACUGACUGUGUUACGAAAAGGGUUUGAGGUUUAUUUUUUUGAUUCAAUUACUUUAUCCCAACAUAAAUUAUCCUGGUAGUAGAAUACCACCAAGUAUUAUACCACCAAAAGGGAAGGGAGGGAUAACUUAUCCCAAUACUAAUUAUUAAUCCAGGUUAUCCCAGACUUUGCAACCAAACAGGAAAUUAAGAGAGACUAAAACUUUAUCUCACGACUAUUUGGUCGUAUUCAUCAGACGAAACGACCCCUUAGGGGCUUGUAUGGUACGAGGGAUGAGGGUGAAUAAUCCCAAAAUAAAAUGUAGGAUUAUUUUAUCCUGCGUUUGCUUAGGAGUAUAAGUCCAAGGACUAUUUAUUCCACCAUUUACACUAUAAUCUAUAAUGAUAGACUAAGUUAUCCCCCAUAUAUAUAACCUAUCCAUGACAUAUCCCAAUAAUGGGAUAACUUUGUUUAUUCCAUCCCUCGUACCAAACGACCCCUUAAAAGUCUUUUAUCCCAAGUACACCACAACAAUUGGUGUUGUAACAGUUUCUUAAUUAACCAAAUGAAGCUUAAUCUCCUCACUCGAACUAGGCCAUAAGAAAUCUCAUUAUUCGAUUGACGCAUUGUUAAAAACUCUUCGAUUUUUAUCCCAAGCCCACCCCAACAUUUUGGUGUAGUAAUAAUUAACCAAAUGAAGCUUCCUCUCCCCACUGGAAUAGCAGCAACAUACCCAAUGAAAUCCCACAAGUGGAUUUUAAGUAGGGUAAGUGUACGCAGACCUUACCACUAUCUAGUGGAGGUAGAGAGAUUGUUUCCAAACUCUCCCCACAAUAAUCAUCCCAUAACUCUAUUCAUCAUCCUACCCAACACUUACAGCAUUAACAUGAGCAACAUAGGAGAUAGCAGGUCACCCUUUCUAAUUAAGCUACCAAAUAAACCACAUGGACAAUCACAAGGACAGGAAACUUCUUGUUAAAAUGCAAAACCUAAUCCAUUCCUCCAUCUUGAACCAAAUCCCAUCCUCAUCAUGAUGAAAUCAAGGAACUCCCAAUUUACAAGACCUGAGGCUUUUUCAAGAUCCAGAUUACACAAUGCUCCUAGUUCCCCUUGCUUUCUUAUCGAAUCAACCACUUCAUUAGCCCUCACUUGCAUCUAGAACCUAACCCUGUUCCACAAAACAUUUCACAAAGUAAAUAUAAUCUUAUAGAUGCUUUUCACUAGACUUAUAGGUUUACAAUCAUUUAUGCUCUAUGCUCUCCCCACCCCUAUCAUUUCAAAACAAUGACAAUGAAAGAGGCAUCCUGGCUUUUUUCCUCACCCUCGUAGAUUGGAAUGUCAUUAUGGUUUGCAUUACCUUAUCCUUAACAAUAUCCCAAAAAUGCUGGAAAACUGCCAACGUGAACCAACUAGUCCCUUUUAUCUUACCAUAUUAGAUUAAACUCUUGAACACGCCCCCAUCAUAUUAGCCAUCGCAAAGUACGAGAAAAAAAUUAUCUUAGUCCCCCCUCCUCCCACCAAAAGUUGUAUUUUGCCUCCAACUAAUCUCUACACAAUAGAAGCUAGCUCUACUUUCAACUCCUCCUCACUCUCUUCCAUUCCAUCCCACCUUCCC
Molecule: long non-coding RNA, 2585 nt
Filed under: Capsicum annuum
Lineage: Eukaryota; Viridiplantae; Streptophyta; Magnoliopsida; Solanales; Solanaceae
Description: long non-coding RNA (CANN_LNC021592)
Source: RNAcentral